Molecule: ribosomal RNA, 443 nt
Filed under: uncultured bacterium
Lineage: Bacteria
Description: partial 16S ribosomal RNA
Rfam family: Bacterial small subunit ribosomal RNA
Source: RNAcentral
CCUACGGGUGGCAGCAGUGGGGGAUAUUGGACAAUGGGGGAAACCCUGAUCCAGCGACGCCGCGUGAGUGAAGAAGUAUUUCGGUAUGUAAAGCUCUGUCAGCAGGGAAGAAAGAAAUGACGGUACCUGACCAAGAAGCCCCGGCUAACUACGUGCCAGCAGCCGCGGUAAUACGGAAGGUCCGGGCGUUCUCCGGAUUUAUUGGGUUUAAAGGGAGCGUAGGCCGGCUUUUAAGUCAGCUGUGAAAGUCCGCGGCUCAACCGUGGAAUUGCCGUUGAAACUGGGGGCCUUGAGUGCACAAAGGGAAGGCGGAAUGCAUGGUGUAGCGGUGAAAUGCUUAGAUAUCAUGAAGAACUCCGAUCGCGAAGGCAAGUGUCCGGGGUGCAACUGACGCUGAGGCUCGAAAGUGCGGGUAUCAAACAGGAUUAGAUACCCUGGUAGUC